This is a long non-coding RNA of Phyllostomus discolor (pale spear-nosed bat), 1504 nucleotides long. RefSeq lists it as uncharacterized. The transcript has 2 exons. NCBI's taxonomy places the organism in Eukaryota, Metazoa, Chordata, Mammalia, Chiroptera, Phyllostomidae. The record is from RefSeq and is a predicted model, not a curated record.
GGAUAAACGCACUUAGGAACUGAAGGAAAGAAAAAAUGGUGUAAGAAAGGAAAUGCAAUCUAUUAUCUAUCAUCUCUAUAGUGGAUGAUACUAACACAAUUACACAAAAAACACGAUGUAUUAGUUUCUAACUUUUUGGGUUCAUCUACAGACAAAGCACAGACGACUUGAUUGUCCAGCUGGUGACAAAAAGGAAGUCAGACAUUCCAAGCAGGAGGAAAAUUCUAUCUGCCUUUGUUAUCUGGAAAGUGGAGGGGACACGCGGAAAGGACCUGAGCCCCACCUCUACUGCCAAGAGUGCCCCAGUCACUUCAGUGGCCUGGGACACAUGGCUCCCCUCCUUCAGUAUGAACAGACACCACCAGCAGCGGGAUCAUCAGCUCUGCAAUCCCAAGGAAGCCAACAGUGUGGAUGAAGCUGGAAGUAGAUUCUUUCCUAAGCCUCCAGAUGAGAGCCAGGCCGAGCUGAUAUCUGCAUUUCAGCUUUGUGAUGCUGGGAGCAGAGAACUCAAGACUUCUGACCUACACAACUGUGAGGUAACUAACACGUGGAUGUUGUUUAAAGUCGCAAAGUUUGCGAUGACUUGUUAUACAACAGAAAACUAAUACACCUGGCAUGUCUUUCCCCUCCCAGUCUGCCCCCAAACUCUUAUUUUGUUUAGGUCACAAGAAGUGUUCUGGCCUAGUGGUUAAUCUCUCGGACUGCAGACAGGCAGACCUGGCUCAGAAUUUUUCCUGUGAGGAUUAGCAGUCACGAACACAGCAAACAUCCAACAAACAGAACUGUAAUUAUUGCUCUUAUUCAUUCCUUGAGUCUCUGUUCUGCACUCAUUCCCUCAGUACAUGUUUCCCCGCCUCCCUGUCUCUCCCCUCUGGAAAUUUCAUCACGCCCUCCCCUGUACUUUGUGCUUGCUGUGCUAGUGCAUGCUGUCCUGGUUAAAUGCCCUCACCAGACUGCUAGCUUGUCGAAGGGCAGAAGCCUUGUCUGCUCAGAGCCUGCCAUGGCCCCUGUCAUGAAGAAGCUCGGAGAAUGUUUAUGAGGAAGGAGCACAGAGGAACCUUCUAGAAGUCUGAGCCACCCAGUGAAGACUGCUCAGGGAGGGGCCUUAUGAGGACGCAGUCAUGGAAGAAAAGCUUCUUUGGAAAAGAGGGACUCAAGAGAAGCAGGCUCUGCUCUAAUGAAUGGGGACAGCAGGGAUCCCAUCAGGUUUGAGCAGAACAGCCUGCAGUCAGUAUGGCUGACACUGGGUAUAGGGUGGUAGCCAAAAAUUCAGCUUUGUCCUUCGGCUCUCAGUGGGAAAGAUGGUGACCUGCAGAACCUGACCGAGGUGCAGACUACCGUCACAAUCACAACCACCACACCCAUUCAAAGGAAAGCAGGCCUGGAUCCAAGAGAGUUCUUACACUGGAAUCUGUGAUGAGGGAAAGAAGGGAUAGGAGAUUAGAACCAUUUUUAGCUUUUUCCUUUUUUACAUAAUAAAUAAGCUUCAUUUCUUUCUUUCAUU